This 315-nucleotide small nuclear RNA is filed under the name Octodon degus (degu). RNAcentral describes it as "7SK RNA (ENSODEG00000024381.1)". It matches the Rfam family "7SK RNA". From Rfam's summary of the family: 7SK was discovered as an abundant small nuclear RNA in the mid-70s but a possible function has only recently been suggested. Two independent studies have found that 7SK RNA binds the CDK9/cyclin T complex (known as elongation factor P-TEFb). Lineage: Eukaryota; Metazoa; Chordata; Mammalia; Rodentia; Octodontidae. The record is from RNAcentral.
GGAUGUGAGGGCGAUCUGGCUGCGACAUCUGUCACCCCACUGCUAGCCAGGGUUGAUUCGGCUGAUGUGGCUGGCGAGGCGGGUGUCCCUGUCCUCCCUCAACGAUCCAUGUGUGUCCCUCCCCAAGCUGCACGCUUGGUCGAAGACGACGACCACCCCCGACAGAGAAGGAGCACUCCUCGGUCAGGGGUAUACGAGUAGCUGCACUCCCCAGCUAGAACCUCCAAACAAGCUCUCAGAAACCAGUGUGAACUUCAGUGGACUUAAGGUACGCACUUGCUGGGAUUAUCCACUACCUAACGCACGUGCAUACAU